UUCCGUUUAAACGGUCUACACUUUAGUCAUUUCCUUUUCCUUUUCUGAGAACUUUCAAAGUGCUGAGAGGACAGGGAAGCUGUAGUUAAGACAAGGACUCAUUUCCUCAGCAACCACCAUCUAGAGAGCACCUCCUGUGUGUCCAGAACCAUGCUGAGGCUGGGACAAGGAAACAGGUGACCACACUCCCAACUGUUGUUCACUUUCUGGCUCAGUGCUUAGUUGUGCUUGGCAACCAAUACUGCUAGAGGAAGAAGGAAGAAAGGAACCAAUUGAAUGGGAGGGAUUGAGGAUACAGGAGAACUCAUGCCAUCCUUGGCAGGAAGAUCACAAGAAGCAGGUGAAGAACCACAACACAGGUGGAGCUACAGAACUACUUGAAGGAAAGAAUAUCCGAUGGAAAAAAGUCUCUUCAACAAAUGGUGUUGGGAAAUCUAGACAGCAACAUGCAGCAAAAUAAAACUGGACCACCUUCUUACACCAUACACAAAAAUUAAUUCAAAAUGGAUGAAAGACCUAAAUGUGAGACAGGAAACCAUCAAAAUCCUAGAGAACACAGGCAGAAACCUCUUUGACCUCGGCCGUUGCAACUCUUGCUAGACACGUCGCCGGAGGCAAGGGAAAAAAAAAGCAAAAAUGAACUGUUGGAACUUCAUCAAGAUAAAAAGCUUCUACACAAAUAAAAUUUAAAAAAAUAAAAAGCUUCUACACAGUGAAGGAAACACUCAACAAAACUAAAAGGCAGCCUACGGAACGGGAGAAGAUACUUGCAGGCAAUAUAUCUGAUAAAGGGUUAGUAUCCAAAAUCUAUAAAGAACUUAUCAAACUCAACACCCAAAAAACAAAUAAUCCAG
RNAcentral lists this long non-coding RNA (854 nucleotides) under Zalophus californianus (California sea lion). Its description in RNAcentral is "lncRNA (ENSZCAG00015003901.1)". The record is from RNAcentral. Lineage: Eukaryota; Metazoa; Chordata; Mammalia; Carnivora; Otariidae.